GACGAACGCUGGCGGCGUGCUUAACACAUGCAAGUCGAACGGAAAGGCCCUGCUUUUGUGGGGUGCUCGAGUGGCGAACGGGUGAGUAACACGUGAGUAACCUGCCCUUGACUUUGGGAUAACUUCAGGAAACUGGGGCUAAUACCGGAUAGGAGCUCCUGCUGCAUGGUGGGGGUUGGAAAGUUUCGGCGGUUGGGGAUGGACUCGCGGCUUAUCAGCUUGUUGGUGGGGUAGUGGCUUACCAAGGCUUUGACGGGUAGCCGGCCUGAGAGGGUGACCGGCCACAUUGGGACUGAGAUACGGCCCAGACUACUACGGGAGGCAGCAGUGGGGAAUAUUGCACAAUGGGCGGAAGCCUGAUGCAGCAACGCCGCGUGCGGGAUGACGGCCUUCGGGUUGUAAACCGCUUUCGCCUGUGACGAAGCGUGAGUGGCGGUAAUGGGUAAAGAAGCACCGGCUAACUACGUG
This 468-nucleotide ribosomal RNA is filed under the name uncultured bacterium. Its description in RNAcentral is "partial 16S ribosomal RNA". It matches the Rfam family "Bacterial small subunit ribosomal RNA", at positions 28 to 507 of the family's 1533-position model. The record is from RNAcentral.